GACGAACGCUGGCGGCAUGCCUAACACAUGCAAGUCGAGCGAGCAGAUCCCUUCGGGGUGAAGCUAGCGGCGGACGGGUGAGUAACACGUGGCAACCUGCCUCAUAGAGGGGAAUAGCCUUCCGAAAGGAAGAUUAAUACCGCAUAAGAUUGUAGCUUCGCAUGAAGCAGCAAUUAAAGGAGCAAUCCGCUAUGAGAUGGGCCCGCGGCGCAUUAGCUAGUUGGUGAGGUAACGGCUCACCAAGGCGACGAUGCGUAGCCGACCUGAGAGGGGGAUCGGCCACAUUGGGACUGAGACACGGCCCAGACUCCUACGGGAGGCAGCAGUGGGGAAUAUUGCACAAUGGGGGAAACCCUGAUGCAGCAAUGCCGCGUGAGUGAUGACGGCCUUCGGGUUGUAAAGCUCUGUCUUCGGGGACGAUAAUGACGGUACCCGAGGAGGAAGCCACGGCUAACUACGUGCCAGCAGCCGCCGUAA
This 477-nucleotide ribosomal RNA is filed under the name uncultured bacterium. RNAcentral's name for it is "partial 16S ribosomal RNA". It matches the Rfam family "Bacterial small subunit ribosomal RNA", at positions 28 to 523 of the family's 1533-position model. The record is from RNAcentral.